RNAcentral lists this ribosomal RNA (395 nucleotides) under uncultured bacterium. RNAcentral describes it as "bacterial SSU rRNA". It matches the Rfam family "Bacterial small subunit ribosomal RNA", at positions 30 to 410 of the family's 1533-position model. The record is from RNAcentral.
AGUGAACGCUGGCGGCAGGCCUAACACAUGCAAGUCGAGCGGCAGCGCGUCCGACCACCCUCGGGUGGUCGGAUGGCGGCGAGCGGCGGACGGGUGAGGAAUGCAUCGGAAUCUGCCUCGUUGUGGGGGAUAACGUAGGGAAACUUACGCUAAUACCGCAUACGACCUACGGGUGAAAGUGGGGGACCUUCGGGCCGUCACGCGAUGAGAUGAGCCGAUGCCGGAUUAGCUAGUUGGCGGGGUAAAGGCCCACCAAGGCGACGAUCCGUAGCUGGUCUGAGAGGAUGAUCAGCCACACUGGAACUGAGACACGGUCCAGACUCCUACGGAGGCAGCAGUGGGGAAUAUUGGACAAUGGGGGCGAACCCUGAUCCAGCCAUGCCGCGUGUGUGAAG